UGGUCUGGGUGAAAGCUCUUGGGACCACCAAAGGCGGGAACAGUUCCC
RNAcentral lists this non-coding RNA (48 nucleotides) under unclassified sequences. Its description in RNAcentral is "DUF3800-XI RNA". It matches the Rfam family "DUF3800-XI RNA". Rfam says of the family: Actinobacteria, Firmicutes, Proteobacteria, Spirochaetes (1 example). The record is from Rfam by way of RNAcentral.